RNAcentral lists this ribosomal RNA (820 nucleotides) under uncultured bacterium. RNAcentral's name for it is "bacterial SSU rRNA". It matches the Rfam family "Bacterial small subunit ribosomal RNA", at positions 60 to 896 of the family's 1533-position model. The record is from RNAcentral.
AGUCGAUGAUGGGAGCUAGCUUGCUAGAAGAAGUCAUGGCGGACGGGUGAGUAACGUGUAAAGAACUUACCAUAUAGACUGGGAUAACAGAGGGGAACUUCUGAUAAUACUGGAUAAGUUAGAAGUAGCAUUACUAAGUAAUGAAAGGUAGCAAUACGCUAUAUGAGAGCUUUGCAUCCUAUUAGCUAGUUGGUGGGGUAAAAGCCUACCAAGGCGAUGAUAGGUAGCCGGCCUGAGAGGGUGGACGGCCACAAGGGGACUGAGAUACGGCCCUUACUCCUACGGGAGGCAGCAGUGGGGAAUAUUGGACAAUGGAGGCAACUCUGAUCCAGCAAUUCUGUGUGUGUGAAGAAGGUUUUAGGACUGUAAAACACUUUUAGUAGGGAAGAAAAAAAUGACGGUACCUACAGAAGAAGCGACGGCUAAAUACGUGCCAGCAGCCGCGGUAAUACGUAUGUCGCGAGCGUUAUCCGGAAUUAUUGGGCUUAAAGGGCAUCUAGGCGGUUAAACAAGUUGAAGGUGAAAACCUGUGGCUCAACCAUAGGCUUGCCUACAAAACUGUAUAACUAGAGUACUGGAAAGGUGGGUGGAACUACACGAGUAGAGGUGAAAUUCGUAGAUAUGUGUAGGAAUGCCGAUGAUGAAGAUAACUCACUGGACAGCAACUGACGCUGAAGUGCGAAAGCUAGGGGAGCAAACAGGAUUAGAUACCCUGGUAGUCCUAGCUGUAAACGGUGAUCACUGGGUGUGGGGAUUCGAAGUCUCUGUGCCGAAGCAAAAGCGAUAAGUGAUCCGCCUGGGGAGUACGUUCGCAAGAAUG